ACCUGGGUGGCUCAGUCGGUUAAGCGACUGAUUUCAGCUCAGGUCAUGAUCUUGAGGUCUGUGGGUUCAAGCCCCACAUCAGGCU
RNAcentral lists this transfer RNA (85 nucleotides) under Felis catus (domestic cat). It matches the Rfam family "tRNA". From Rfam's summary of the family: Transfer RNA (tRNA) molecules are approximately 80 nucleotides in length. The record is from Rfam by way of RNAcentral. Lineage: Eukaryota; Metazoa; Chordata; Mammalia; Carnivora; Felidae.